RNAcentral lists this ribosomal RNA (543 nucleotides) under uncultured bacterium. RNAcentral describes it as "bacterial SSU rRNA". It matches the Rfam family "Bacterial small subunit ribosomal RNA", at positions 355 to 896 of the family's 1533-position model. The record is from RNAcentral.
UGAGGAAUAUUGGUCAAUGGGCGAGAGCCUGAACCAGCCAAGUAGCGUGCAGGAUGACGGCCCUAUGGGUUGUAAACUGCUUUUAUGUGGGGAUAAAGUGAGCUACGUGUAGUUUAUUGCAGGUACCACAUGAAUAAGGACCGGCUAAUUCCGUGCCAGCAGCCGCGGUAAUACGGAAGGUCCGGGCGUUAUCCGGAUUUAUUGGGUUUAAAGGGAGCGUAGGCCGUGGAUUAAGCGUGUUGUGAAAUGUAGACGCUCAACGUCUGAAUUGCAGCGCGAACUGGUUCACUUGAGUAUGCGCAACGUAGGCGGAAUUCGUCGUGUAGCGGUGAAAUGCUUAGAUAUGACGAAGAACUCCGAUUGCGAAGGCAGCUUACGGGAGCACAACUGACGCUGAAGCUCGAAGGUGCGGGUAUCAAACAGGAUUAGAUACCCUGGUAGUCCGCACAGUAAACGCUGGAUGCCCGUUGUUAGUUCACUUAUGAAUUAGCGACCAAGCGAAAGCAUUAAGCAUCCCACCUGGGGAGUACGCCGGCAACGGUG